This 177-nucleotide ribosomal RNA is filed under the name uncultured bacterium. RNAcentral's name for it is "partial 16S ribosomal RNA". It matches the Rfam family "Bacterial small subunit ribosomal RNA", at positions 1316 to 1500 of the family's 1533-position model. The record is from RNAcentral.
CUCCAUGAAGCUGGAUUCGCUAGUAAUCGCGCAUCAGCCACGGCGCGGUGAAUACGUUCCCGGGCCUUGUACACACCGCCCGUCAAGCCAUGGAAGCCGGGGGUGCCUGAAGUGCGCUGCCGCAAGGAGCGCCCUAGGGUAAAACCGGUGACUGGGGCUAAGUCGUAACAAGGUAGC